GAAUAGGAGUAAUGGCGAGAGUUUUAUUGAGGUAAAAGAUUGUUUAAUGUUGUUUGUGUAUUAAUUGGGUAUUUUAGAAGAAUCUAGUGAUUUUAUUGCUAAAGUAAAUUGUAUUGAAGUGUUUAAAAAAACUAAAGUGAAUAAGUACUGUAAAGGAAGGUAUUUAAUUUAUGGAAAGAAGAUUUAAAUUUUCGUACCUUUUGUAUCAGGGAUUUUUUAUUUAUUUAAAAAAGGUUUAAAUUCCCGAAAUAAGGUGAUCUAAUUUAGUAAAUGUGUUCAUGUAGGAAAAUGGAAUUUAAUGUUAAAUUAGCGGUGAUAUGCCAGUCGAACUUUAUAUAUCUGGUUAUUUUUGAAGUAAAUUUAAUUUAAUUUUUAUGGUUAUUAGCUAUAAAAUUAAGUUUUUAGGGGGAAAAGCUCCUGGAAUUGUUUGUAAAAAGUGGUUGAGAAGAAUGCAAAAUUAGGCUUAGAAUCAGUCAUGUUGCCACAGCGUUUUAGAUGGUGCAAUAAUAAAAUGUGUUUUAUUUGAUAUUUACUUAUUAAUUAAGAAGUUAUUAUUUAAAAUAAGGUUAUAUAAGAUAUAUUGAUUAUAUUAGUAGAUUAAAUUUAUGUUAAAUUAUAUGUCUGGGUAGGAAAGAAUUUUUAAUUAUGUUUUGGUGUGUUUAAGGAACUCGACAAAUAUUGUGUUCACCUGUUUAUCAAAAACAUGUCUAUUUGGAUAAAUUUUUUAGUCUGGCCUGCCCACUGAAUUAUUGAAGGGCCGCGGUAUUUGGACCGUGCUAAGGUAGCAUAAUCAAUAGUCUCUUAAUUAGAGUCUAGAAUGAAUGGCUGGAUGAAAUGCAAUUUGUCUUCAAAUAUAGUGUUGAAUUUUACUUUUGAGUGAAAAGGCUUAAAUUAAGUAAAGGGACGAUAAGACCCUGUGAAGCUUUACUUUUAUUGAAUAUUAAAAUUGGGUAUUUAUGUGUUUAGGUUUAUAGUUAAUAGAAGUUGGGUUGGGGCGAUUGGAAUAUAAUUUUAACUGUUUUGAAAAUUGAAAUAAAUAAUUUUUAGUUGGUUGAUCUUAUAAUAUAGAUUAAAAAAUUUAAGUUACUCCAGGGAUAACAGCGUAAUUCUUUUUGAGAGUUCUUAUCGACAGAAGUAGUUGCGACCUCGAUGUUGAAUUAGGAUUUCACCAGGGUGUAGAAGUCCUGUUUGUAGGUCUGUUCGACCUUUAAAAUCCUACAUGAUUUGAGUUCAGACCGGCGUGAGCCAGGUUAGUUUCUAUCUUUUGCUUUAUAGAAGCCAUUUUAGUACGAAAGGAGUGAGUGGUUAAAAUAUUUUUUAAUAUUUAGAUUUACUUUAAUUACUUU
This 1346-nucleotide ribosomal RNA is filed under the name Typhlatya taina. RNAcentral's name for it is "16S ribosomal RNA". The stretch from base 896 to 1268 matches the Rfam family "Bacterial large subunit ribosomal RNA", at positions 2072 to 2648 of the family's 2925-position model. Lineage: Eukaryota; Metazoa; Arthropoda; Malacostraca; Decapoda; Atyidae. The record is from RNAcentral.